UUCCAUUGAGAUUUCAUCCCCUCUGCAAUACAGUAACAGAUCAUCUGCAAAGCAAAUGUGACUGAUUUGUAGUUGGGAACACUUGGGGUGGAAGUUGAAAUCUGGAUUCCUGUGCAGUUUUUUCAGGGAUCUGUUGAGGUAUUUCAUUACUAGGACAAACAGGUAGGGGGGCAUGGGGUCUCCCUGCCUUAGUCCCUUUCUUGCUGCAAA
RNAcentral lists this long non-coding RNA (210 nucleotides) under Nicotiana benthamiana. RNAcentral describes it as "long non-coding RNA (NBEN_LNC016083)". The record is from RNAcentral. Lineage: Eukaryota; Viridiplantae; Streptophyta; Magnoliopsida; Solanales; Solanaceae.